Long non-coding RNA from Apis cerana (Asiatic honeybee), 861 nucleotides. RefSeq lists it as uncharacterized. The record is from RefSeq and is a predicted model, not a curated record. Lineage: Eukaryota; Metazoa; Arthropoda; Insecta; Hymenoptera; Apidae.
ACAGCAAUUCCUAUAGAGGACAGGCUCGAUGUAACGAAUAAUGAAAAGUCAUUCUUGAAUAUAAGUAAACCAAGACCGUCUUUUAUAUAAGGUACAUCAAAGGGGAAUUAUACUUUCAUUUUGGGUUUCUACAAAGAUAAUGGUAAGAAUUAGCUUAAAUCGUUAAAGUUAAAAACGUGCUUCGGGUGGCCUCUUGCAGAUCAACAUUUUAUUUCAAUUUUUAUGGAAAGAAUGGAAAUCAUAAGGUUUAUUGCAGUAAAAUCAUUUAAUAAAUCUGAAACAAGAAAAGAAAAUGGUUAAAUAAUUUAAUUUUGAUAUAAAAAAAAAUGUAAAAUAUUGAAUGAAAAAAAGAUAUAUAAUAAAUGAAGGAAAAUAUUUUAAACAGAAAAAAUUAAAUAUGUUUAUAAAUAAUAACUUUAAUGUGGAACCAUGAAGCUUUCUUUUUUUUUAAAUAAAUUGAAAAUUUUUCAAAGUCGUGAAUUAUAACAUCAUUAUUAUUUGAUGAUGUAUAGAUGUUGCAUAUAUACUUUUGGAAAUAUAAGAAAAACAUGUUUAUGAGAAACAGAACAAAAUAUUAGAGGUGAUCCCAAUAAAAGUUUUUUAUUUGGAAUCUAUACAAAUUUAUUUUUAAAAUUAUUGUAUGAUAUGUUCUAUAUGAUUAAUUUUAAAUAUAUAAUUUUAUAACUUAAGAAUUUUAAUUUUAUUUCUAUAUAUUAAAUAAAUUUUAUUAUUUUAUUUUAUUAAUAAUAUAUAUAUAAUUAUGUAUUAAGCUUUUUUUUAUUAUAUUGUAUGUUUUUAUUUCUUGCAGUAUGUAAAAAUGAUAUGAUAAAAAGAAAUAAAUAAAAAGACCUAUAAAAAAAA